This 1246-nucleotide long non-coding RNA is filed under the name Homo sapiens (human). RNAcentral describes it as "HSALNT0354567". Lineage: Eukaryota; Metazoa; Chordata; Mammalia; Primates; Hominidae. The record is from RNAcentral.
CACCAAUCCUCCUGGGUUCAGAGAUGGAACUUGGGUUAAAUGCAUGGAAUUUAUUCUUAGUCCUUUUCUUAAUUACGACUUUUUAUUUCUCUGGUGUUCUCUAGGGGAGGGGUUAGAGAAGAGAGGAAAAGGAAGAAAGAAAGGGGGCAGGGAAAUAUAGAUUCAAUGCUUUUGUUUUGUUUCUGGGCUGCUUGCUAUCAGCAAAGUAGAGAGAUUUAACGGAUCUUGCCGAGAAUGCAAGCCUCAUUCCAAGGAAGCCAGAGCUCAGAAGACAUGGAACAAAUACAAUGAAAACAUAACUUGAGGUCGGAAAAUGUCCCCUGAAUAUUUAUGUCAAUGUCCUACCUUAGUGAAUAUUACUUAAUACUGUGGCUCCUUUAAAGCAUUUAGCACAUUUGUACCAUGAAGAUACUGAGGCUGCCAUCAUGCUCUGUUAUUCUAAGAGAAAGAUCAACAGCAACAACAACAAUAAUAAUUUAAAAAGCAGAGGAAGAAAGUAAUCCAAGAAGACAGACGCAGAGCCUCUAAGAUCAUGAAGGAUGAUUAAAAGAACAAGUUGGGGAUGAAAAUGGGGAAUCAGAAAGCUUAUCAUCAGUGUGAUUUCAUUAUGAAGUCAGAUGGAAUGAGGAGUGUGUAAAUCCAGAAUCAGAAUCCCAGCGACGAAGCUUUUCUUGCUCUGUUACCUUGGAAAAUGCUUUGAACCAGACCAGAUAAGAAAAGUAAAAGUCUGGAGUGUAAUCCUUCCAAUUGUCUUUUGGCUUCUCUUCUACUUCUACAAAAAGUUCAACAAAAAUUAGAAUUUGAAACAACGGAAAGAGAGAAAUUUUAGGUUAGUAGCUAAAUCCCCAAGGAUACUAAUUAGAGAAAGAUGUUGGAAUUGCCUUAAUGAGUCACUGCCAACGCAAGUCCUAAGGAAGCAAAGACUGUGAGUAAGCAAAGGUAGCCAGCUGCUGGGAAGAGGACAAUAGAGGAAAAGGUCAGAGGGACUUUAAAAGACUGACUGUGGGCUCCCUGAGGGAAGGAGGGAUGGAGAGAGUAUCGGGUCCUAUAGAAUACCUUAAUUGUUUUUAUGACUUCUCUUUUCCAUAUCCAGUUCACAUGUACUCCUUUCUGUGCAUUAAAUUGAGUUUCUAUUGGCUUCUUUGUAACAAAAAGAACUGAACAGAAACACAUAUCUAUUGGACAAAGAGCAAUAAAAUGAUAUAAUAACUGUAUCUGAGGGUUUUUUCAUUUUAAAGAAUAAAAC